This 1444-nucleotide ribosomal RNA is filed under the name uncultured organism. RNAcentral's name for it is "SSU rRNA". It matches the Rfam family "Bacterial small subunit ribosomal RNA". The record is from RNAcentral.
CGCUAGCUACAGGCUUAACACAUGCAAGUCGAGGGGCAGCAUGGUCUUAGCUUGCUAAGGCCGAUGGCGACCGGCGCACGGGUGAGUAACACGUAUCCAACCUGCCGUCUACUCUUGGACAGCCUUCUGAAAGGAAGAUUAAUACAAGAUGGCAUCAUGAGUCCGCAUGUUCACAUGAUUAAAGGUAUUCCGGUAGACGAUGGGGAUGCGUUCCAUUAGAUAGUAGGCGGGGUAACGGCCCACCUAGUCUUCGAUGGAUAGGGGUUCUGAGAGGAAGGUCCCCCACAUUGGAACUGAGACACGGUCCAAACUCCUACGGGAGGCAGCAGUGAGGAAUAUUGGUCAAUGGGCGAGAGCCUGAACCAGCCAAGUAGCGUGAAGGAUGACUGCCCUAUGGGUUGUAAACUUCUUUUAUAAAGGAAUAAAGUCGGGUAUGGAUACCCGUUUGCAUGUACUUUAUGAAUAAGGAUCGGCUAACUCCGUGCCAGCAGCCGCGGUAAUACGGAGGAUCCGAGCGUUAUCCGGAUUUAUUGGGUUUAAAGGGAGCGUAGAUGGAUGUUUAAGUCAGUUGUGAAAGUUUGCGGCUCAACCGUAAAAUUGCAGUUGAUACUGGAUAUCUUGAGUGCAGUUGAGGCAGGCGGAAUUCGUGGUGUAGCGGUGAAAUGCUUAGAUAUCACGAAGAACUCCGAUUGCGAAGGCAGCCUGCUAAGCUGCAACUGACAUUGAGGCUCGAAAGUGUGGGUAUCAAACAGGAUUAGAUACCCUGGUAGUCCACACGGUAAACGAUGAAUACUCGCUGCUUGCGAUAUACUGCAAGCGGCCAAGCGAAAGCGUUAAGUAUUCCACCUGGGGAGUACGCCGGCAACGGUGAAACUCAAAGGAAUUGACGGGGGCCCGCACAAGCGGAGGAACAUGUGGUUUAAUUCGAUGAUACGCGAGGAACCUUACCCGGGCUUAAAUUGCAGAUGAAUUACGGUGAAAGCCGUAAGCCGCAAGGCAUCUGUGAAGGUGCUGCAUGGUUGUCGUCAGCUCGUGCCGUGAGGUGUCGGCUUAAGUGCCAUAACGAGCGCAACCCUUGUUGUCAGUUACUAACAGGUUCCGCUGAGGACUCUGACAAGACUGCCAUCGUAAGAUGUGAGGAAGGUGGGGAUGACGUCAAAUCAGCACGGCCCUUACGUCCGGGGCUACACACGUGUUACAAUGGGGGGUACAGAGGGCCGCUACCACGCGAGUGGAUGCCAAUCCCCAAAACCUCUCUCAGUUCGGACUGGAGUCUGCAACCCGACUCCACGAAGCUGGAUUCGCUAGUAAUCGCGCAUCAGCCACGGCGCGGUGAAUACGUUCCCGGGCCUUGUACACACCGCCCGUCAAGCCAUGGGAGCCGGGGGUACCUGAAGUGCGUAACCGCGAGGAGCGCCCUAGGGUAAAACUGGUGACUGGGGCU